UAAGGAAUAUUGGACAAUGGAGGCAACUCUGAUCCAGCCAUGCCGCGUGAAGGAAUAAGGCCCUAUGGGUUGUAAACUUCUUUUAGACGGGACAAAACCCCUUUACGUGUAAAGGGUUGAUGGUACUGUCAGAAUAAGCAUCGGCUAACUUCGUGCCAGCAGCCGCGGUAAUACGAAGGAUGCAAGCGUUAUCCGGAAUUAUUGGGUUUAAAGGGUGCGUAGGCGGACUAAUUAGUCAGUGGUGAAAGCCUGCAGCUUAACUGCAGAAUUGCCAUUGAUACUGUUAGUCUUGAGUACAGUUGAGGUAGGCGGAAUGUGUCAUGUAGCGGUGAAAUGCUUAGAUAUGACACAGAACACCGAUUGCGAAGGCAGCUUGCUAAGCUGUAACUGACGCUGAGGCACGAAAGCGUGGGGAGCAAACA
This 422-nucleotide ribosomal RNA is filed under the name uncultured bacterium. RNAcentral describes it as "bacterial SSU rRNA". It matches the Rfam family "Bacterial small subunit ribosomal RNA", at positions 355 to 774 of the family's 1533-position model. The record is from RNAcentral.